UUUAAAGUGUAAUGUAAGUCGCUUUGGAUAAAAGCGUCUGCUAAAUAACCUGUA
Regulatory RNA element from Gasterosteus aculeatus (three-spined stickleback), 54 nucleotides. It matches the Rfam family "UnaL2 LINE 3' element". Rfam says of the family: The eel long interspersed element (LINE) UnaL2 and its partner short interspersed element (SINE) share a conserved 3' tail containing a stem-loop that is critical for their retrotransposition. Presumably, the first step of retrotransposition is the recognition of their 3' tails by UnaL2-encoded reverse transcriptase. The record is from Rfam. Lineage: Eukaryota; Metazoa; Chordata; Actinopteri; Perciformes; Gasterosteidae.